Molecule: unclassified non-coding RNA, 225 nt
Filed under: soil metagenome
Description: partial contains small subunit ribosomal RNA, internal transcribed spacer 1, and 5.8S ribosomal RNA
Source: RNAcentral
UCUCCGUUGGUGAACCAGCGGAGGGAUCAUUACCGAGUUUUCCAGAACUCCCAACCCCUGUGAACAUACCAUCGUUGCUUCGGCGGACUCGUCCCGGGCGCGCCCCAGCGCGUGACCCGGAGCCAGGCGGCCGCCGGGGGACCCAAACUCUUGUCUUUUUAGUGGAUUCUCUGAGUGGCACAAGCAAAUAAGUUAAAACUUUCAACAACGGAUCUCUUGGCUCUG